Molecule: ribosomal RNA, 542 nt
Filed under: Arthrobacter subterraneus
Lineage: Bacteria; Bacillati; Actinomycetota; Actinomycetes; Micrococcales; Micrococcaceae
Description: bacterial SSU rRNA
Rfam family: Bacterial small subunit ribosomal RNA
Source: RNAcentral
UGCUGCAAUGGGCGCAGCCUGAUGCAGCGACGCCGCGUGAGGGAUGAAGGCCUUCGGGUUGUAAACCUCUUUCAGUAGGGAAGAAGCGAAAGUGACGGUACCUGCAGAAGAAGCGCCGGCUAACUACGUGCCAGCAGCCGCGGUAAUACGUAGGGCGCAAGCGUUAUCCGGAAUUAUUGGGCGUAAAGAGCUCGUAGGCGGUUUGUCGCGUCUGCCGUGAAAGUCCGGGGCUUAACUCCGGAUCUGCGGUGGGUACGGGCAGACUUGAGUGAUGUAGGGGAGACUGGAAUUCCUGGUGUAGCGGUGAAAUGCGCAAAUAUCAGGAGGAACACCGAUGGCGAAGGCAGGUCUCUGGGCAUUAACUGACGCUGAGGAGCGAAAGCAUGGGGAGCGAACAGGAUUAGAUACCCUGGUAGUCCAUGCCGUAAACGUUGGGCACUAGGUGUGGGGGACAUUCCACGUUUUCCGCGCCGUAGCUAACGCAUUAAGUGCCCCGCCUGGGGAGUACGGCCGCAAGGCUAAAACUCAAAGAAUUUGACGGA